GACGAACGCUGGCGGCGUGCUUAACACAUGCAAGUCGAACGGAAAGGCCCUGCUUUUGUGGGGUGCUCGAGUGGCGAACGGGUGAGUAACACGUGAGUAACCUGCCCUUGACUUUGGGAUAACUUCAGGAAACUGGGGCUAAUACCGGAUAGGAGCUCCUGCUGCAUGGUGGGGGUUGGAAAGUUUCGGCGGUUGGGGAUGGACUCGCGGCUUAUCAGCUUGUUGGUGGGGUAGUGGCUUACCAAGGCUUUGACGGGUAGCCGGCCUGAGAGGGUGACCGGCCACAUUGGGACUGAGAUACGGCCCAGACUCCUACGGGAGGCAGCAGUGGGGAAUAUUGCACAAUGGGCGGAAGCCUGAUGCAGCAACGCCGCGUGCGGGAUGACGGCCUUCGGGUUGUAAACCGCUUUCGCCUGUGACGAAGCGUGAGUGACGGUAAUGGGUAAAGAAGCACCGGCUAACUACGUGCCAGCAGCCGCGGUGAUACGUAGGGUGCGAGCGUUGUCCGGAUUUAUUGGGCGUAAAGGGCUCGUAGGUGGUUGAUCGCGUCGGAAGUGUAAUCUUGGGGCUUAACCCUGAGCGUGCUUUCGAUACGGGUUGACUUGAGGAAGGUAGGGGAGAAUGGAAUUCCUGGUGGAGCGGUGGAAUGCGCAGAUAUCAGGAGGAACACCAGUGGCGAAGGCGGUUCUCUGGGCCUUUCCUGACGCUGAGGAGCGAAAGCGUGGGGAGCGAACAGGCUUAGAUACCCUGGUAGUCCACGCUGUAAACGGUGGGUACUAGGUGUGGGGUCCAUUCCACGGGUUCCGUGCCGUAGCUAACGCUUUAAGUACCCCGCCUGGGGAGUACGGCCGCAAGGCUAAAACUCAAAGGAAUUGACGGGGCCCCGCACAAGCGGCGGAGCAUGCGGAUUAAUUCGAUGCAACGCGUAGAACCUUACCUGGGUUUGACAUGGGUCGGGAGUGCUCAGAGAUGGGUGUGCCUCUUUUGGGGUCGGUUCACAGGUGGUGCAUGCCUGUCGUCAGCUCGUGUCGUGAGAUGUUGGGUUAAGUCCCGCAACGAGCGCAACCCUUGUUCACUGUUGCCAGCACGUUAUGGUGGGGACUCAGUGGAGACCGCCGGGGUCAACUCGGAGGAAGGUGGGGAUGACGUCAAGUCAUCAUGCCCCUUAUGUCCAGGGCUUCACGCAUGCUACAAUGGCUGGUACAGAGAGUGGCGAGCCUGUGAGGGUGAGCGAAUCUCGGAAAGCCGGUCUCAGUUCGGAUUGGGGUCUGCAACUCGACCUCAUGAAGUCGGAGUCGCUAGUAAUCGCAGAUCAGCAACGCUGCGGUGAAUAAAUUCCCGGGGCU
This 1346-nucleotide ribosomal RNA is filed under the name uncultured bacterium. Its description in RNAcentral is "partial 16S ribosomal RNA". It matches the Rfam family "Bacterial small subunit ribosomal RNA", at positions 28 to 1381 of the family's 1533-position model. The record is from RNAcentral.